GUGGGGAAUUUUGGACAAUGGGCGCAAGCCUGAUCCAGCAAUGCCGCGUGCAGGAAGAAGGCCUUCGGGUUGUAAACUGCUUUUGUACGGAACGAAACGGUCCUGGCUAAUACCUGGGGCUAAUGACGGUACCGUAAGAAUAAGCACCGGCUAACUACGUGCCAGCAGCCGCGGUAAUACGUAGGGUGCGAGCGUUAAUCGGAAUUACUGGGCGUAAAGCGUGCACAGGCGGUGCUGUAAGACAGGCGUGAAAUCCCCGGGCUCAACCUGGGAAUUGCGCUUGUGACUGCAGUGCUGGAGUGCGGCAGAGGUGGAUGGAAUUCCGCGUGUAGCAGUGAAAUGCGUAGAUAUGCGGAGGAACACCGAUGGCGAAGGCAAUCCCCUGGGCCUGCACUGACGCUCAUGCACGAAAGCGUGGGGAGCAAACAGGAUUAGAAACCCGAGUAGUCC
RNAcentral lists this ribosomal RNA (450 nucleotides) under uncultured bacterium. RNAcentral describes it as "partial 16S ribosomal RNA". It matches the Rfam family "Bacterial small subunit ribosomal RNA", at positions 354 to 796 of the family's 1533-position model. The record is from RNAcentral.